GGUGGGUUCGUAUAACGGCUAGUACUCAGGAUUUUCAUUCCUGCAAUAGGAGUUCGAUUCUCCUACCCACUACCA
This 75-nucleotide transfer RNA is filed under the name Bacteroidales bacterium. RNAcentral describes it as "tRNA-Glu". It matches the Rfam family "tRNA". From Rfam's summary of the family: Transfer RNA (tRNA) molecules are approximately 80 nucleotides in length. Their secondary structure includes four short double-helical elements and three loops (D, anti-codon, and T loops). Lineage: Bacteria; Pseudomonadati; Bacteroidota; Bacteroidia; Bacteroidales. RNAcentral also lists the same sequence under 1 other name. The record is from RNAcentral.